UACGUAGGGGGGCAAGCGUUGUCCGGAUUUAUUGGGCGUAAAGAGCGUGUAGGCGGCCAGGUAGGUCUGCUGUGAAAACUCGAGGCUCAACCUCGAGACGUCGGCGGAAACCGUAAAGCUAGAGUCCGGAAGAGGAGAGUGGAAUUCCUGGUGUAGCGGUGAAAUGCGCAGAUAUCAGGAGGAACACCCGUGGCGAAAGCGGCUCUCUGGGACGGUACUGACGCUGAGACGCGAAAAGCGUGGGGGAGCAAACAGG
RNAcentral lists this ribosomal RNA (256 nucleotides) under uncultured bacterium. RNAcentral describes it as "partial 16S ribosomal RNA". It matches the Rfam family "Bacterial small subunit ribosomal RNA", at positions 524 to 776 of the family's 1533-position model. The record is from RNAcentral.